GAUGAACGCUGGCGGCGUGCCUAACACAUGCAAGUCGAGCGAUCUUCUUCGGAAGAGAGCGGCGGACGGGUGAGUAACGCGUGGGUAACCUGCCCUGUACACACGGAUAACAUACCGAAAGGUAUGCUAAUACGAGAUAACAUGCUUUUAUCGCAUGGUAGAAGUAUCAAAGCUCCGGCGGUACAGGAUGGACCCGCGUCUGAUUAGCUAGUUGGUAAGGUAACGGCUUACCAAGGCGACGAUCAGUAGCCGACCUGAGAGGGUGAUCGGCCACAUUGGAACUGAGACACGGCCCAGACUCCUACGGGAGGCAGCAGUGGGGAAUAUUGCACAAUGGGCGAAAGCCUGAUGCAGCAACGCCGCGUGAGGGACGACGGCCUUCGGGUUGUAAACCUCUUUUAGCAAGGAAGAAGCGAAAGUGACGGUACUUGCAGAAAAAGCGCCGGCUAACUACGUG
This 457-nucleotide ribosomal RNA is filed under the name uncultured bacterium. Its description in RNAcentral is "bacterial SSU rRNA". It matches the Rfam family "Bacterial small subunit ribosomal RNA", at positions 28 to 507 of the family's 1533-position model. The record is from RNAcentral.